GUUCAGUCUGUUUUCUCACUUGACAAUGUCGACCAUCGAGUUCCAUAGUCCUAAAGACCUAGAACUUGUUGAAUCUCUUGUCAAUGAUCUGUGUGAUCCACAAAAAAAAGUGAAUGCCCUUUCCGAGUUAUGUAAGAAAAGGCGAAUGUUUAAGGAUUUGGCUCCAUUGGUUUGGCAAUGGCACAAUGACUGCACAACUCCAGGAAGUUAUUUUAGUCUAUUCUGCACUUUCAUCCCCAACACUAUCGGAUAAUGCAUCGAGCCGAGUCUGCAAUGCACUUGGGCUUCUUCAGCCCAAAUUCCCAUGUACUUAUACCCAUUCUUGAAUACUACAAGCAACGCCAAAUCUUUUGAUGCUCUCUUUAAGGUAGAAGACGAUACAGAAGUAGUCAAUUUCCUGGUGACAAGUCAAGUAAUGCCUCUGUUCUUGCGAAUCAUGGUGAUGGGCACUGAGCUUCAAGGAAUAGUAAUGUCAUGCCAUCUUUUUGCAUACGCCCAGCCAUGACACACCAUGCUAUACCCUACUCAUUGGCAUGCUUUCGGUUUCUUAAGCUCGUAUAUGGAUUGCAAACGUAGCAACCACUUGACAUUUGUUCAAGAUCUUUGUGGCCAUGCAGAUUUUGGCAUUCUUGGUCACUAUCACUAUCACGCCCAUCUACUGGCUUUUACGCCCUCCAUUUGUUCACCUACUGCUUGAUUUGAUCACACUAACCAGCCACAUGCACAUUAAUAUACAGGUCUCCACUUCCAUCGUCGAAAAGAUCAUGCUCGACGACUUUGGGUUACAGUACAUCUGCGGCACGGCGGACAGUUUCUUUCAGAUAUCCAUUGCUUUAGGAACCAUGGUGUUUGCGCUCGUCGGCCAGCCCUCUUCCAGGCUCCUGAAGCAUGUCGUCCGCUGCUACCUCAGGCUGACAGAUCAUCCCAGGGCCGUGUCGCGAGGCUCUGAAGAACGGGACAUUUAGAGCAUCUCUUGAGCAUCUCCAACAGCAUAUGUGUUUUUGAUACUUGUUUUAGUAUAGGAGAGAGAAGAUUUAGGUAAUGGUUUUAUGCUUCUCUUAUAUUUCCUUUAGGGAUUAAUAUGUGAACAUAAUCUUUUUUCUAGGACCGAUCUGCAAAAUUGACUCAUCCUCUUCCCCGAACUCUCUUCUCCCCCCUCUCCAUCCUGCUGCUCUCCCCGCGCUGCUCCGCUCAAAUCGGCGGCGGCCCCUGCUCCUCCACCCGAAUCCAUGAGCCCCACUGCCGAGAAUCGACGCCGGUCGCGCUCCUCCGUCUUGCCCGGCCGCUUCGGGGACGGGCGGCGCACAUCUAGGCAAGGCGCGGGCCGCAUGGUAGGUAGGGGCGGAGCGCACAUGGUGGGGCGAGGCGCAGGCCGCACAACGAGGAGGGCGAUGGGAGGUGAGGUCCGGCCGGGCUACGGCUACGCGCGGAGCUCGAUCUCCGACCAUGGUGGAGCGGGCGGCGCUCGUCCGAGCUCAGGCGCAGGACGGAGCUGUGAGCUGCGGGAGAGCCGGCUCCGCGGGCAGGCCGCACCCGGCCACGGGCAUGUCGGAGCCAGCCAUCGACGGACGGGUGGGGAGCCCCAGGUGACGGUUAUCUAUACCUUAAUCCAUCGACAAGCCUGGGGUGAGAUUAGGAAGAAGAUACCGAUUGCACCGAAACAAAAACCACUGUCGUUAUUGCCGGCUGACCGGGCGGUGCCUCGUAAGGAGGCCCGGACAUCAAGAUAAACAGGCCGCUAGCUCGGCUCAAGUUACCCAGCAAAGGCCAAGGAGCAAUGAUGAUGUCAGGCUUACUACGUCCCUAGGGCGUGGCUAGGCCUGCCAGCGGCACUCACGUGGGCCAAUAUAAGGAAAUGCGAGCUGUCUAGUCUGGCGCAUCGUAUUCUGUACCUAGGAGAGCACGACAACUGCUUCAAGACAAAGGUCCCCGAUCGAGAAUGGUGUGGCAACGUUGUGCGUGGUUAUAUCCGCCCGAUCUCCGUCCGCCAUCAUGGCGACGCCAGGUGAUGAGACUGAUGGCAGGCGCACCCUCGGAUAAGUCUAGGGGUCAGGUUCGGUGAUCGAGACGACCGGACGAAGGUUUUGACGGAAGUCAAGCGAGGAGAAGCCUCGACUGAGGGACGGGGUCCAUGGCCACCCGUUAGAGGAGACACCCAAUUAAAUAAGAGGAUGCGACCAACAAUGUAAUCCCUCUCAUAGCUAUGUAUAUAAGGGUAUGGAGGGGAACAA
Long non-coding RNA from Setaria italica (foxtail millet), 2231 nucleotides. RefSeq lists it as uncharacterized. The record is from RefSeq and is a predicted model, not a curated record. NCBI's taxonomy places the organism in Eukaryota, Viridiplantae, Streptophyta, Magnoliopsida, Poales, Poaceae. The transcript is spliced from 6 exons.